CAAAUGGUAAUAAGUACAAUGGGAGCAUCUACAUGGUUUUUGAGUUCAUGGACCAUGGCUUGACUGGCGUUGGCAAUUGUCCUGGACUAAUAUUUAUUGUACAACAGAUUGAGCAUCUUUGGAGAAGAGGAAGCAAAAUUUUGUAGAGCUCAAAACUAGAAAUGGUUAGUUUCAUGGCUUGGGUGCUUGCAAUGAUUAGCAGGGGACUACAUGAUGCUGCUUAUGAUGUAGGUGGUUUCUAUGAGUGAAAACUUCGCUGCUUCUAUCGUUGUUUCGCAUCUUUUCACAUCAGCGAAAGAGAAGGAUGAUCACUCCACUAAGUUGAAGAAGGGAAAGAAAGCUAAGUUAGGCUCUGAAAGUUAGUGGAGAUUCACUAAAUUAAUUCCUAGAUCCGCUGGCCAGGUUAAUAAUGUUGUUUGGAGGAGAUCUAUCAAGGUGACGACUGACUUAUUGUUUAUCCAUCCCUUUCCCUCAUUUUAUUAAUGGUGCUAUUCAAAUCUGUAGGUACGUCCAACUAUAAGGUCAAAUUUAGUUUUCCAUCAAAUUAUGAUGGGAAGUUUGAUGCUGCAAAUGCUAAAGGAGACUGGAUGUUGUUUGGGCAGAAAGUGAUGUUGUGGAUGGCCAACUGUGGUCGUUGUGUCCUCAGCUCUUCAUUUUCCAGCUAAGUAGCAUUUGCCAAGUUCAGCAUAUGUAGACAAAAAAAUGUGCUUUUUUCUUUUCCUCUUUUUUUUUUUUUCCUUCUUUCACCAUUUGACAACCAUGUCCAUGUGAGUGGAAUGGUCACCUCAAACAUGCACGAGUCUGUCACUAAAUUCAUGUGUUGUUGGUUUUAUUUGAAUGAAUUAAAUGGGGAGGACGAUGAACAUAAAUUGAGCUUAGAAAUCAAAUUCAUA
This is a long non-coding RNA of Tripterygium wilfordii, 893 nucleotides long. RefSeq lists it as uncharacterized. The transcript is spliced from 6 exons. Lineage: Eukaryota; Viridiplantae; Streptophyta; Magnoliopsida; Celastrales; Celastraceae. The record is from RefSeq and is a predicted model, not a curated record.